AGAGUUUGAUCCUGGCUCAGGAUGAACGCUAGCUGCAGGCUUAACACAUGCAAGUCGAGGGGAAACGACAUCGAAAGCUUGCUUUUUGAUGGGCGUCGACCGGCGCACGGGUGAGUAACGCGUAUCCAACCUGCCCACCACUUGGGGAUAACCUUGCGAAAGUAAGACUAAUACCCAAUGAUAUCUCUAGAAGACAUCUGAAAGAGAUUAAAAGAUUUAUCGGUGAUGGAUGGGGAUGCGUCUGAUUAGCUUGUUGGCGGGGUAACGGCCACCAAGGCGACGAUCAGUAGGGGUUCUGGAGAGGAAGGUCCCCCCACAUUGGAACUGAGACACGGUCCAAACUCCUACGGGAGGCA
RNAcentral lists this ribosomal RNA (356 nucleotides) under uncultured bacterium. RNAcentral's name for it is "bacterial SSU rRNA". It matches the Rfam family "Bacterial small subunit ribosomal RNA", at positions 8 to 350 of the family's 1533-position model. The record is from RNAcentral.